RNAcentral lists this ribosomal RNA (491 nucleotides) under uncultured bacterium. Its description in RNAcentral is "bacterial SSU rRNA". It matches the Rfam family "Bacterial small subunit ribosomal RNA", at positions 228 to 731 of the family's 1533-position model. The record is from RNAcentral.
GGCCCGCGGCCUAUCAGCUUGUUGGUGAGGUAAUGGCUCACCAAGGCGACGACGGGUAGCCGGCCUGAGAGGGUGACCGGCCACACUGGGACUGAGACACGGCCCAGACUCCUACGGGAGGCAGCAGUGGGGAAUAUUGCACAAUGGGCGAAAGCCUGAUGCAGCGACGCCGCGUGAGGGAUGACGGCCUUCGGGUUGUAAACCUCUUUCAGUAGGGAAGAAGCGAAAGUGACGGUACCUGCAGAAGAAGCGCCGGCUAACUACGUGCCAGCAGCCGCGGUAAUACGUAGGGCGCAAGCGUUAUCCGGAAUUAUUGGGCGUAAAGAGCUCGUAGGCGGUUUGUCGCGUCUGCCGUGAAAGUCCGAGGCUCAACCUCGGAUCUGCGGUGGGUACGGGCAGACUAGAGUGAUGUAGGGGAGACUGGAAUUCCUGGUGUAGCGGUGAAAUGCGCAGAUAUCAGGAGGAACACCGAUGGCGAAGGCAGGUCUCUG